Molecule: non-coding RNA, 1235 nt
Organism: Peromyscus maniculatus bairdii (prairie deer mouse)
Lineage: Eukaryota; Metazoa; Chordata; Mammalia; Rodentia; Cricetidae
Source: RefSeq, a predicted model, not a curated record
UUGGCAGAGACAUAUCUCCACAGUGUAUAAAAAGAUUAUUCCACAACAAAACUUGCCUGGUAGCAGGACGAUAUAGAUAGGAGUUGCUGUGGUGUGUAUGUUAUGUCUAUAAUUCAGGCUCUACAAUCACUGUUGUAUAUAUGCCCUGGGUAGACCACUGAACUCUCUGCUUCACUCUGCAUUCUCAGACAUAAUAGAACCCAACUCAAAGGGUUUUGUCAGGAUUUUGUACUGGGCAUACAUCUAGUAAGUGUGUAUUUCUCCUGUUCUUGCUUAGGUAGAGACUGUACAAGCUAGACCCACUAGAGGCUGGGAAUGAAAAAAUAAUGCCACUUUCAGUGUGUUAAAGUGCACACAUGUCAUUCACAUUUUUGUUUUGACAAUGUCCCUGAACAAUGUACAAGACUCGAUGCCUCUUUGUAAGAAGCCAGGACAUCUAUUUUGGCUAUGGCAGCCGUGUGAUUUAUUUGGGAAGGAAAGCGAUGACCAUUAAGAAACCACUUGGAUCUGAUGGAGGCAAUGGCCACUGAGAGGGAGAAAGAACAUGGUGUCUGGACUCCUGCUGCUUCUUCCCAUUGAUGACACUGCCUCUUCUGCUCAUAUUUCAUGAGUCAACAUGGCCACUCCUAACUUUGAAGUGACUGUAGACAUUCUAUGUUACAGUGAGCCUAGGAAGAAGAAGAGAAAUAUUUCAGUGAUGCUGUAAGUAUCCUGUACUGUUGAAAGCAGGUGAUUCCCAUCUCCUACUGAGUCACAGAUGAUUCCCAUCUCCUACUGAGUCACAGAGACCAAGAUCCAGCUGUAACCUUGGCUGAGAUUGCCACAACUGUGCCCAGGACUGUAAGACGGAUACUACCCAGCAGAUGAAAAAAUCAGCAGUUGACACAAGAGACUUAACUUUCCCAAGAACCUCUAAUGGUCAAGUCAAGACCCAGGAUGCUCCCAUGAUGCCAGGCUGGGAGUUAACAACAAAGAAUAACGGCCAUGGAAGGAUGGUCCCCUUGCCAAUUGGCACUUAUCAAAGGACAUGGAGGGAGAGGGACAGAGUGCCUAGAUGUGAGCCUUCAUCAAGUGUUCUGAAGACCCUACCCCAAAGGAGAGUGCUCGGAGGAAGAAAUGACGCUCUGGAUAGGCCUUUCCUCAAAGCUGGAGCUGUCCAGGGGUGGCAAACAGGGUCCCUGGGAUGCCUCUUCCCUGUUGCUGAUUCCUACAAAUAAAGUUCUAUCGGAUACGGA